RNAcentral lists this ribosomal RNA (450 nucleotides) under uncultured bacterium. RNAcentral describes it as "partial 16S ribosomal RNA". It matches the Rfam family "Bacterial small subunit ribosomal RNA", at positions 354 to 796 of the family's 1533-position model. The record is from RNAcentral.
GUGGGGAAUUUUGGACAAUGGGCGAAAGCCUGAUCCAGCAAUGCCGCGUGCAGGAUGAAGGCCCUCGGGUUGUAAACUGCUUUUGUACGGAACGAAAAGCCUGGGGCUAAUAUCCCCGGGUCAUGACGGUACCGUAAGAAUAAGCACCGGCUAACUACGUGCCAGCAGCCGCGGUAAUACGUAGGGUGCAAGCGUUAAUCGGAAUUACUGGGCGUAAAGCGUGCGCAGGCGGUUUUGUAAGACAGUGGUGAAAUCCCCGGGCUCAACCUGGGAACGGCCAUUGUGACUGCAAGGCUAGAGUGCGGCAGAGGGGGAUGGAAUUCCGCGUGUAGCAGUGAAAUGCGUAGAUAUGCGGAGGAACACCGAUGGCGAAGGCAAUCCCCUGGGCCUGCACUGACGCUCAUGCACGAAAGCGUGGGGAGCAAACAGGAUUAGAAACCCUGGUAGUCC